Molecule: ribosomal RNA, 253 nt
Filed under: uncultured bacterium
Lineage: Bacteria
Description: partial 16S ribosomal RNA
Rfam family: Bacterial small subunit ribosomal RNA
Source: RNAcentral
UACGAAGGGUGCAAGCGUUACUCGGAAUUACUGGGCGUAAAGCGUGCGUAGGCGGUUUGUUAAGUCCGCUGUGAAAGCCCCGGGCUUAACCUGGGAACUGCGUCUGGGACUGAGAGGCUAGAGUUCGGGAGAGGAGAGUGGAAUUCCCGGUGUAGUGGUGAAAUGCGUAGAUAUCGGGAGGAACACCAGUGGCGAAGGCGACUACCUGGCCUGUUCUUGACGCUGAGGCGCGAAAGCUAGGGGAGCAAACGGG